GCUCAGGAUGAACGCUAGCUACAGGCUUAACACAUGCAAGUCGAGGGGCAGCAUUUCAGUUUGCUUGCAAACUGGAGAUGGCGACCGGCGCACGGGUGAGUAACACGUAUCCAACCUGCCGAUAACUCGGGGAUAGCCUUUCGAAAGAAAGAUUAAUACCCGAUGGUAUAAUUAGACCGCAUGGUCUUGUUAUUAAAGAAUUUCGGUUAUCGAUGGGGAUGCGUUCCAUUAGGCAGUUGGUGAGGUAACGGCUCACCAAACCUUCGAUGGAUAGGGGUUCUGAGAGGAAGGUCCCCCACAUUGGAACUGAGACACGGUCCAAACUCCUACGGGAGGCAGCAGUGAGGAAUAUUGGUCAAUGGGCGAGAGCCUGAACCAGCCAA
Molecule: ribosomal RNA, 383 nt
Filed under: uncultured Bacteroides sp.
Lineage: Bacteria; Pseudomonadati; Bacteroidota; Bacteroidia; Bacteroidales; Bacteroidaceae
Description: bacterial SSU rRNA
Rfam family: Bacterial small subunit ribosomal RNA
Source: RNAcentral